AAACACAAAAAUCUUGAAGGAUCCAUUCCUAAUUUUUUUUGGAUUCUUUUAAAUUUGGGUUGGCAAAAGAAUACGAGAUUGAUUCCUUCUAAUUUGAUUCAUCUUUUUCGACUAAAAUCAUGGCAAAAGAAAGAAAUUUAUCAGAGCUAGACAAUUAUUCUCUGAGCUCAAUGUUCACUUUCUCUCUAAAGAACAAAUUUGUAGAUCUAGUUUUUAUUUGGCGUGAAUUUCGUUUUCUUAUGGUUGAUUGUUACUGUUUUCUUAUGGUUGAUCGUUUUCUUCUAAAGUUGCUCUUAUUUUUAUUUUUAUUUUUUUGGUUUAGAUCCACCGGCAAAAUCACUGAGAACAAAAAAAAAAAGCUUCUAUUUGUUAUUCUCUCAAUUGUUUCUAUUUUUCAUUUCUCUUCUUUCUUCUUCUUCUUCUUCUUCUUCUUCAUCAGCUCUUUGAUUUUUUUGAAUCUUGAUCUGUGAGGAAAGACUCUUUGAAUCUCUCUAUCUCUCUGCUCAAGACGUGAAUUUGAGGCAAACCCAUUACGAAUGGAUCAACUCCUUCUACUUCAUUGGCUAUCACAAGACCAGCGUCCUCAGCUGCUGAUCAGGGUUUGAUGAUUCUCCAAUCUCCAAAAGUAGCGUUCUACAGGAGAUCCAAAACUAUAAAGGGUAAACGCAUGCCUUCGUCAUGUAAAGAGAAAGACCAAGUGAAAGAAGGUCAAAUUCUGUGCUACAUUGAACAACUCGGUGGCCAAUUCCAAGUCUUCUUCGUGUAAUGAUUUUUUAUUUUCUCGUUUACUCAUAUGGAACAGAGCCUGUAGGAUACAAUGAUGCUCUCAUCUCGAUCCUUCCCUCUUUCCCUGGGAUUAAGAAGCUUCAAGAAGAAAAAAAUGGUCAUCUGAGGAGGAUGAGGAGAUCAUUGCUGCUGUGAAGCGACAUGGUGAAGGCAGCUGGGCCCUUAUUGCUAAGGAAGAAUUUGAAGGAGAGCGAACACCCUCACAACUCUCACAGAGAGCUAUUUUCGUAGUCACAGAAUUAUGGUAUGGUAGCGAGAUUGUUGCUAUCAAAGUUGUCCACCGCGGCACCAAACCUGAUGAGAAAUCUUCCCUCGAGAGCCAUUUCAUCCGCGAAGUCAAUAUGAUGUCCCGAGUUCAACACCCUAAUCUUGUCAAGUUUAUUGGAGCCUGCAAAGACCCUCUCAUGGUGAUAGUGACUGAGCUGCUCCCAAGGUUGUCCCUCCGUAAAUAUCUUGCCACCAUCCGUCCUCAGGUGCUCCGUCUCCCUCUUGCUUUUGUCCUUUGCCCUUGACAUUUCCCGCGCCUUGGACUGCUUACACGCCAAUGGUAUCAUUAACCGAGGACAUUCGAAGCUCGACUAGGUGUCCAAGAAAUUCGUUGGCUUGAAAAGCAUUGUACCCCUCUUUUUUUACCAUAUUGUGAAUUAACAUGGUAUGUACUCUUUAUGAGAAUAAAUAUGGUUAUAUCCUUUUGCAGAUUUAAUAAUUUAUAUUUCUUAGUAUA
Non-coding RNA from Camelina sativa (false flax), 1510 nucleotides. The record is from RefSeq and is a predicted model, not a curated record. NCBI's taxonomy places the organism in Eukaryota, Viridiplantae, Streptophyta, Magnoliopsida, Brassicales, Brassicaceae.